Molecule: ribosomal RNA, 250 nt
Filed under: uncultured bacterium
Lineage: Bacteria
Description: partial 16S ribosomal RNA
Rfam family: Bacterial small subunit ribosomal RNA
Source: RNAcentral
GUGCCAGCCGCCGCGGUAAUACGUAGGGUGCGAGCGUUAAUCGGAAUUACUGGGCGUAAAGCGUGCGCAGGCGGUUUUGUAAGUCAGGUGUGAAAUCCCCGGGCUCAACCUGGGAACUGCGUUUGAAACUACAAGGCUAGAGUGUGGCAGAGGGGGGUAGAAUUCCACGUGUAGCAGUGAAAUGCGUAGAGAUGUGGAGGAAUACCAAUGGCGAAGGCAGCCCCCUGGGUUAACACUGACGCUCAUGCAC